AGGUACCAGGCUCUCCCCCUGGCAUUUUGGCUUCAUGCUAAUCUCAUGUGUGCUAUGUUUACCCAGGUGUACCUCCAUUGACUUCACUGAAGAUGUUUCUGAAAUCUGUUCUUGCCUAAUCUAGGUUCCUACCUGAUGCUCAACACCACAGCAUUGGGGGACCUUCCACAAUGGUAAGGUGGCCCCAUAAGAUGUCUUCCUCUCCCUGAUGUCUCUAGUUAGUACCGUCUGGACCUUUGGUUCAGUGCCUGAAGAAAGCCUGGCUCCCAAGAUCUGAGGCCUGAAUUCUGCAGGAAGCAACCUUUUGUCGCACAGCAUGAAAACCACACACUGUUUCCAGCACUUGAGGGGUGAUGUUCAAUGGCCAGAGCACAUCCGAAAACAUAACAACCCCACUUCGAGAGAAUAACCGAUUCACCACCACAAGUCUGCAGUAUGACCACAUUUUCUCUGCCCAGUUUAGCAAACUAUAUAUUAGAAUAGUUCACCUGAGUAUGGUAAACAUGACAAGAUCUUCAUAGCAAGAUCUUCUGUGUCUCCAAAAGAUCCAAAAGUUUAGCUAGGUCAGCUUGUGGCUUGCAGAGCUCAAAGAUCAAAUGUUUGUGAGUGAAAAGUAAUGGCAGGCUGGAUGACACAACUUUUUAUUGACUCUGAAAAAAGGACAAACAUAAAAUCCACAAAAGCCAUGUGAUCUAACAUUUCUGUUGAAACUAACAGGAAAUGUAAAUGCAAACAAUUAGAGUGGAUGCCCUUAAAAGCUCAACUUUUACCUCCACACCUGCACAGACACCACGCAUUUUUUUAUAGUUGGACUAGUAGCUAUUGGGUAACCUUAUCAACUGUGGAAAGGUGAAUGUUGAGUUACUGACUGUGCAAAGUGACUGCAAAUCGAAAGCCACAGAGCUGCUGCAGCUGCUGCAGUCUAGUAUCAGAUCCUACUUUCUCAUGGCAAAGUUCCACCCCUUGAGCCCCCAGUCCAGUGUCCCAGCCCCUGAACUACAUUG
Molecule: long non-coding RNA, 1004 nt
Filed under: Crocodylus porosus (Australian saltwater crocodile)
Lineage: Eukaryota; Metazoa; Chordata; Crocodylia; Crocodylidae
Description: lncRNA (ENSCPRG00005006518.1)
Source: RNAcentral